Molecule: long non-coding RNA, 132 nt
Filed under: Monodelphis domestica (gray short-tailed opossum)
Lineage: Eukaryota; Metazoa; Chordata; Mammalia; Didelphimorphia; Didelphidae
Description: lncRNA (ENSMODG00000046531.1)
Source: RNAcentral
AAGUACUGCUUGGUCCUCUGAACAAUAGUAAUGGUCUUUUCUCAUUUAUAAUGCUCAGGUGUCUGGUUUCCAGGAGCCCUAGGACACAGGAACCAAGGAGACUGCCCAGGUUUGUCCAUAUCUAUCCCUCAA